CCUACGGGUGGCAGCAGUGGGGGAUAUUGCACAAUGGGGGAAACCCUGAUGCAGCGACGCCGCGUGGGCGAAGAAGUAUUUCGGUAUGUAAAGCCCUAUCAGCAGGGAAGAAGAAAUGACGGUACCUGAGUAAGAAGCACCGGCUAAAUACGUGCCAGCAGCCGCGGUAAUACGUAUGGUGCAAGCGUUAUCCGGAUUUACUGGGUGAAAAGGGCGUGUAGGCGGAUCGUUAAGUCAGUGGUCAAAUUGAGGGGCUCAACCCCUUCCCGCCAUUGAAACUGGCGUUCUUGAGUGGAAGAGAAGUAUGCGGAAUGCGUGGUGUAGCGGUGAAAUGCAUAGAUAUCACGCAGAACCCCGAUUGCGAAGGCAGCAUGCCGGCUUCCGACUGACGCUGAAGCACGAAAGCGUGGGGAUCGAACAGGAUUAGAUACCCUGGUAGUC
Molecule: ribosomal RNA, 441 nt
Filed under: uncultured bacterium
Lineage: Bacteria
Description: partial 16S ribosomal RNA
Rfam family: Bacterial small subunit ribosomal RNA
Source: RNAcentral